RNAcentral lists this ribosomal RNA (465 nucleotides) under uncultured bacterium. Its description in RNAcentral is "partial 16S ribosomal RNA". It matches the Rfam family "Bacterial small subunit ribosomal RNA", at positions 28 to 507 of the family's 1533-position model. The record is from RNAcentral.
GACGAACGCUGGCGGCGUGCUUAACACAUGCAAGUCGAACGGAAAGGCCCCUUUGGGGGUACUCGAGUGGCGAACGGGUGAGUAACACGUGAGUAACCUGCCCUUGCCUUCGGGAUAACUUCAGGAAACUGGGGCUAAUACCGGAUAGGAAUCCUUGCUGCAUGGUGGGGGUUGGAAAGCUUCGGCGGUUUUGGAUGGACUCGCGGCUUAUCAGCUUGUUGGUGGGGUAGUGGCUUACCAAGGCUUUGACGGGUAGCCGGCCUGGGAGGGCGACCGGCCACAUUGGGACUGAGAUACGGCCCAGACUCCUACGGGGGGCAGCAGUGGGGAAUAUUGCACAAUGGGCGGAAGCCUGAUGCAGCAACGCCGCGUGCGGGAUGACGGCCUUCGGGUUGUAAACCGCUUUCAGCAGGGGCGAAGCUUGUGGUGACGGUACCUGCAGAAGAAGCACCGGCUAACUACGUG